This 424-nucleotide ribosomal RNA is filed under the name uncultured bacterium. RNAcentral's name for it is "bacterial SSU rRNA". It matches the Rfam family "Bacterial small subunit ribosomal RNA", at positions 354 to 776 of the family's 1533-position model. The record is from RNAcentral.
GUGAGGAAUAUUGGUCAAUGGGCGGAAGCCUGAACCAGCCAAGUCGCGUGAGGGAAGACGGUCCUAUGGAUUGUAAACCUCUUUUGUCGGGGAGCAAGGAUCCGCACGAGUGCGGAGGCGAGAGUACCCGAAGAAAAAGCAUCGGCUAACUCCGUGCCAGCAGCCGCGGUAAUACGGAGGAUGCGAGCGUUAUCCGGAUUUAUUGGGUUUAAAGGGUGCGCAGGCGGAGGAUCAAGUCAGCGGUAAAAUAGCGGGGCUCAACCCCGUCGAGCCGUUGAAACUGGUUUUCUAGAGUGAGCGAGAAGUAUGCGGAAUGCGUGGUGUAGCGGUGAAAUGCAUAGAUAUCACGCAGAACUCCGAUUGCGAAGGCAGCAUACCGGCGCUCAACUGACGCUCAGGCACGAAAGCGUGGGUAUCGAACAGG